CUGUUUGGAAGUAAAUUUCAGAAUGAAAGAAAAACAAAAAAGCAAAUAACCAAGUAUGGCUUAAUGUUGCAGUUCUGUGUAAUGGGCUAUAUAAAGUCUUAGGGGAAUUUGUCAGGUUUUUUGUUUGUUUGUUUGUCCCAGCCUAUUACACAUGUAGCAGUUAAGGAGCUGUAGGUGGGAAGUUGUGAGCCCUUUAAGCCUGGAAGCAUUUAGUAACCUUCCAGGCAGGAGGUGGAACCUGCCAGGUCCUUUCCCACAGUCCUCACCAGGUAGCUGUGCUUGAGCCCUUCACACUAAGUCAGCUCCUACCCACGACUGCAGAUGGCUUGGCUGUAUGAUUGACCUUCCACAGCAGCUAGAGCACAGUGAUAAUGAGGCAGUCGUCUCGACCUUAAUUUACAACUUUCCAGGAACAUAGGGCUAGAAGUACUUUUGCCAAGUAGCAUUCUUAGCCUUCAUUUUAUGCCAAUGUUUAGAAAACAAUAAUGUAUAGCAAGUAUAAUUUCUAAAGAAUAAUGCUUUUCUAUAAAUUAUUAAUUGUAAAGAGUCUUGUUUUUUAAAGAGUUGGUAACUCGCCGUGGAGGGUGUAUUUUGUAUGUGUAAAUUCACCACAAUUAAAGGCUGCUUUUCAUCUUGUCAAUCUUUGCUAUGUAGAAUGACUAUCCUGAAUACUAAUCUGCCGAAAGGGCAAUAUGUAGCAACAGCCAGAAUGUAGACUUGAGCUGCCAUGGCAUACUUAGUUAGUUUUUACAUUUACGGAGUACUGUAUUGGAGUCCUGUUUUCAUUAAUCCCUUGGCCUGGAGGAGUUUACCAAUGUGUUGUGUCAACCACUAAAAUGGAACAGUUGCUCCUUCCUUGCUGUUUGCUGCUUUCUGUUCAGCUUUUGCUGACUGGGACUUGUGGGGUGGAAGAACAGCAUUCAGUUGUACUAACUUGCUCUCCUAGAGAGAGUUCUUCACUUCAGCAGAGACAACUAUGUUUAAGGAUGUAGAACAUCUCUCAUUACCAGCUAUGUGUUUGAUAUGAUUACCUUAGAUGAGUAGGGAUAGAAAACCAACUCAAACUUUUGAGGGCCGUGAUAGACCCCGGUAUCAUUUCUGCAAGCUCUCAUUUGGUCUCUGAAACAUGACUACUGCAGGAUCAUUUCUUCACUUCAGACUCUUCAUUGGUGGGAAUGGCCAUGGUCUGUCAAUCUCUAACUCACUGAGAAAUGAGAGAAAUGGAUAAACUUAGAAGUCUUAAAUUCCAUAGUUUAAAGAAUAAUAGAGUGAGACUUAAGAAAAAAGAAUUGUACAGAGAAUACUGCAUACUAAAAGAAGAAUGUAUUUGUUGCAGACUAAAGGAUACUAAUAGACUAGAAACCACUUGACAGCAGUUUGUGAGGUGGAUGGACAGAAAACUUCAGAACACAAUUUUAGAUCAAAGCCCUAACAUAAGAUGACCCUUGUCAGCCUCAUGUAACUAUCUUAAGGUUUUGACUGUGAUGACACAUCCAUUAAACGUUGCUGUAAAAUGGGUCAUGCAACAUCUUAAGUUGGCCGGAUACACUUAUGGAAGGACUAGAGACACUUAAAUGUUGAGACAGAUCAUGGUUCUGGUAACAUCACUGGAGUGAUAGCAUGUGUGUCCCUGAAGUUAACACCUACUGAGGCUUGCCCUUCUGUUAGGCUUGGCUUGGUUGUGAGUAGACCUGAUAGAGAUGAUUAAAGCUAUCUUAGAUAGCUUUCACAUGGGUCACAUAUCAGAUAGCUUGCAUAUCAGAUAUUUACAUUAUAAUUCAUAACAGCAAAAUUAUAUUUAUGAAGUCGCAACAAAUAAUUUUAUGAUUGGAGAGUCACAACAGCAUGAGGGAACUGUAUUAAAGGGUCACAACAUUGGCAAGGUUGAGAGCCAUUGCUCUAGGCCAUCAUUACAUACUUGAGCCCUCUGAUACUCUCUCCCUCAAGCCUUUUUCCUAUUGUGUUGGACAAUUAUAUAUUUUAAAGAGAACUACAAAGAAAAAUUAGUCAUAAGUAACUCUUUUGGAAUGUUUACUUAAAUUUAGGUAUUGUCAUGUGACUCAGGUAAAGUUAGAAUUGACACAGAACAGGGGUCUAUUUUUUAGCUUGCUAGAGUAGAAAAUGCAAAACUAUAUUCUCACUGCAUAUGCACCUCGCUCCCCGUCAUCGGAAGUGCUGCUGCCUUGUGUGUUAGGCAGGCAGUCAUCUUAUUCUAGUCAACAUUUGCCAAUGAUACAGAGAUACCUCCAUUUAUAUUUUGUAUUUUAAAAAAGUAGAUUAAAGAUAGAACUGUAUAACCCACACUUUUUGACAAAAAAGUGCAAUAUAAACAUAUAACGGGUGUGUGUGCAACAUCAUUUAUAACAAUUUCUGUUGGUACAAGGUGUUCUAAAGUUCAUCUUCCAUAUAGGAGCAUUCAGUAUGAAGUAAGUUAGUCCAGCUUCAUAAUCUGAGCCAUAAUUUUGUUAUUGCCAUACUUUCUUUGAAAUAGUAAUAAAAUUUUAUAACUCAAAAUUUAAUGUCCUCUUAACUAUGCGCUACCCAUGGCAAGGAAACAUUGUGGGGUUUUGUGGUUGGUUUUGGUCCAGAUUUUUUUUUUUCUUUUCCACAUUUCUCUUAAGGUAUACUUUCUAUUUUUCUGUACUGACAUGCAAUAAAUUGAUACAUGAACAGC
RNAcentral lists this long non-coding RNA (2674 nucleotides) under Mus musculus (house mouse). RNAcentral describes it as "long non-coding RNA chr8:9989366-9992040". Lineage: Eukaryota; Metazoa; Chordata; Mammalia; Rodentia; Muridae. The record is from RNAcentral.